RNAcentral lists this transfer RNA (62 nucleotides) under Cirriformia cf. tentaculata HK-2018. RNAcentral describes it as "tRNA-Lys". The record is from RNAcentral. Lineage: Eukaryota; Metazoa; Annelida; Polychaeta; Terebellida; Cirratulidae.
CACAAGAAAUGCAAAGAGAGCAGCUAGUCUUUUAAACUAGUAACUGGGUUUCCCUCUUGUGC